Molecule: ribosomal RNA, 491 nt
Filed under: uncultured bacterium
Lineage: Bacteria
Description: partial 16S ribosomal RNA
Rfam family: Bacterial small subunit ribosomal RNA
Source: RNAcentral
AGUGAACGCUGGCGGUAGGCCUAACACAUGCAAGUCGAACGGCAGCACAGUAAGAGCUUGCUCUUACGGGUGGCGAGUGGCGGACGGGUGAGGAAUACAUCGGAAUCUACUUUUUCGUGGGGGAUAACGUAGGGAAACUUACGCUAAUACCGCAUACGACCUACGGGUGAAAGCAGGGGAUCUUCGGACCUUGCGCGAUUGAAUGAGCCGAUGUCGGAUUAGCUAGUUGGCGGGGUAAAGGCCCACCAAGGCGACGAUCCGUAGCUGGUCUGAGGGGAUGAUCAGCCACACUGGAACUGAGACACGGUCCAGACUCCUACGGGAGGCAGCAGUGGGGAAUAUUGGACAAUGGGCGCAAGCCUGAUCCAGCCAUACCGCGUGGGUGAAGAAGGCCUUCGGGUUGUAAAGCCCUUUUGUUGGGAAAGAAAAGCAGCAGGUUAAUACCCCGCUGUUCUGACGGUACCCAAAGAAUAAGCACCGGCUAACUUCGU